RNAcentral lists this ribosomal RNA (800 nucleotides) under Halobacillus sp. JSM 101084. Its description in RNAcentral is "bacterial SSU rRNA". It matches the Rfam family "Bacterial small subunit ribosomal RNA", at positions 38 to 806 of the family's 1533-position model. Lineage: Bacteria; Bacillati; Bacillota; Bacilli; Caryophanales; Bacillaceae. The record is from RNAcentral.
GGCGGGUGGCCCUAUACAUGCAAGUCGAGCGCGGGAGCGAGUGGAUCCCUUCGGGGUGAAGCUCGUGGAACGAGCGGCGGACGGGUGAGUAACACGUGGGCAACCUGCCUGUAAGAUCGGAAUAACCCCGGGAAACCGGGGCUAAUGCCGGGUAAUACUUUCUUUCGCAUGAAGGAAAGUUGAAAGAUGGCUUCUCGCUAUCACUUACAGAUGGGCCCGCGGCGCAUUAGCUAGUUGGUGAGGUAACGGCUCACCAAGGCGACGAUGCGUAGCCGACCUGAGAGGGUGAUCGGCCACACUGGGACUGAGACACGGCCCAGACUCCUACGGGAGGCAGCAGUAGGGAAUCUUCCGCAAUGGACGAAAGUCUGACGGAGCAACGCCGCGUGAACGAUGAAGGUCUUCGGAUCGUAAAGUUCUGUUGUUAGGGAAGAACAAGUACCGUGCGAAUAGAGCGGUACCUUGACGGUACCUAACGAGGAAGCCCCGGCUAACUACGUGCCAGCAGCCGCGGUAAUACGUAGGGGGCAAGCGUUGUCCGGAAUUAUUGGGCGUAAAGCGCGCGCAGGCGGUUCCUUAAGUCUGAUGUGAAAGCCCACGGCUCAACCGUGGAGGGUCAUUGGAAACUGGGGAACUUGAGGACAGAAGAGGAGAGUGGAAUUCCACGUGUAGCGGUGAAAUGCGUAGAUAUGUGGAGGAACACCAGUGGCGAAGGCGACUCUCUGGUCUGUUUCUGACGCUGAGGUGCGAAAGCGUGGGUAGCAAACAGGAUUAGAUACCCUGGUAGUCCACGCCGUAAA